GAAAUUCUUCACUGAUCUCUCUGGCAUGACUGGCAGACUUUUGAGAGUGAUGUUUCUUUUGGCAGUCUGUGCCUCAACUUGAGCUGUGGCUGCUGCUGCUGAGAGUAGGGCAAUGUGCUGCACAGAUGUCCAGCUCUUAGCAUGCUGCUCUGUGUCCUUUAGCACAGGAAGAACCUUUCAGGGAAUUCUGCAUGCAUCUGUAUUUCCAUAUGCAUCAUGAUCUUUAAAGAAGCCUCCUUGUCAAGGUGUUAAUUAUCUCUUCUUUAUUUAAAGGGUUCCCAAGGCAGCCAGUCCUAUGGCCAGGGCUACCAGCUUCAAGGUGGCAGUUCCUAUGGACAGGGCUACAGACCUCAAAGUGGCAGUUCCUAUGGUCAGGGUUCCCAAGGCAGCCAGUCCUAUGGCCAGGGUUACCAGUCUCAAGGUGGCAGUUCCUAUGGACAGGGCGGAUCUGUUUCUUAUGGUGGCAGCAGUGGUUGUGGACAAGGUGUCUCCUAUGAUAGCAAUCCCUGUCACCAGGUAAAUGGUCUUUCUCCUCUUAUUUUAGGAUGCAUUAGAAAUUAGUUUUGCCACUAAACCAAUUCGUUCCAAAUUCAGAUUCAUAUUGCACAAAUCCAUGUAAUCUUAUACAUUUUGAGAUUAGAAUUCACUAUCUUCCUAUUCACAGGAGCGUCACGGGGGCUUUGAAGUCUUUUUUGCCACUUUUUCCUAGCAUUACAUUUUGAAAUAUUUAAUUCUAUAGAACAUUAAGGCCAGAUUCUGGAAAGAAGAAGUUUGCUGCAGAGUUGUUCCACUGGCAUGACUUAAAUCAAGGCUGGAGCUCACCAGCUUCUCUCUUCCUGUCAAAAUCCAGAAAAUAUUUUAGAACCGCCAUUCAAGGUCCCAGAAACAAACUGAGUUUGUG
Molecule: long non-coding RNA, 901 nt
Filed under: Cyanistes caeruleus (blue tit)
Lineage: Eukaryota; Metazoa; Chordata; Aves; Passeriformes; Paridae
Description: lncRNA (ENSCCEG00000001985.1)
Source: RNAcentral